UAUCAAUUUAUUUAUGUCUUUGAUUUCCUAUUUGGUUAGAGAUUUGUUUUGGCAUCACGAAUUGCACCCGUUGGAGAAGGAAAUGAAUAUGAAGUUUCAUGUAAUGGCUGGUUUGUCUACAUUGGAUUGUCAGGUAUAAAGUUUCAUGUUUUUUAAGUUACCAUAUCUACUUUUCGAAAGCAUUAUCAUAUCUACUAUUGCAUCAUAUUAAGGGAAAGUGGUAUUUCGAUGUUACAUGAUUUUAAAUUUGAGGAGUUUUGAUAUCAUGGACUAAACGGACCAGUCAGCAUUCGGCCUGAAUUGGGAAGGCUUUCUCCAGAGAAGAGGGGACGGCUGGUCUUAGUUUUGAAUAUUGCUAGCACGAUUGCUUA
Molecule: long non-coding RNA, 371 nt
Organism: Lolium perenne
Lineage: Eukaryota; Viridiplantae; Streptophyta; Magnoliopsida; Poales; Poaceae
Source: RefSeq, a predicted model, not a curated record